Molecule: non-coding RNA, 73 nt
Organism: Pelobates cultripes (western spadefoot toad)
Lineage: Eukaryota; Metazoa; Chordata; Amphibia; Anura; Pelobatidae
Source: the annotation of a GenBank genome assembly
GCUCCCGUGGCGCAAUCGGUUAGCGCGUGGUACUUAUAAGGCAAGGUUGUGAGUUCAAGCCUCACCUGGAGCA